UCCUACGGGAGGCAGCAGUGGGGAAUAUUGCACAAUGGAGGGAACUCUGAUGCAGCGACGCCGCGUGAGCGAUGAAGGCCUUCGGGUCGUAAAGCUCUGUCCUAUGGGACGAUAAUGACGGUACCAUAGGAGGAAGCCCCGGCUAACUACGUGCCAGCAGCCGCGGUAAUACGUAGGGGGCGAGCGUUGUCCGGAAUUAUUGGGCGUAAAGGGUACGCAGGCGGUCAUGUAAGUCAGAUGUGAAAUCCUAAGGCUUAACCUUAGUAAGCAUUUGAAACUGCGUGGCUUGAGUUAAGGAGAGGAAAGUGGAAUUCCUGGUGUAGCGGUGAAAUGCGUAGAUAUCAGGAGGAAUACCAGUGGCGAAGGCGACUUUCUGGCCUUAAACUGACGCUGAGGUACGAAAGCGUGGGGAGCAAACAGGAUUAGAUACCCUGGUAGUCCACGCUGUAAACGAUGAGUGCUAGGUGUCGGGUGUCAAACCUCGGUGCCGCAGUAAACACAUAAGCACUCCG
This 512-nucleotide ribosomal RNA is filed under the name uncultured bacterium. Its description in RNAcentral is "bacterial SSU rRNA". It matches the Rfam family "Bacterial small subunit ribosomal RNA", at positions 337 to 871 of the family's 1533-position model. The record is from RNAcentral.